RNAcentral lists this ribosomal RNA (435 nucleotides) under uncultured bacterium. RNAcentral describes it as "partial 16S ribosomal RNA". It matches the Rfam family "Bacterial small subunit ribosomal RNA", at positions 29 to 507 of the family's 1533-position model. The record is from RNAcentral.
AACGAACGCUGGCGGUAUGCCUAACACAUGCAAGUCGAACGAUAGCCCUCGGGUGACUGUGGCUCACGGGUGCCUAACGCGGGGGAAUCUGCCAUUACGUUCGGAACAACAGUUGGGAACGGCUUCUCGUACCGGAACAUACCGUAAUAUCAAAGAUUUCGCGCCUGAGGAUGAGCGCGCGAUGGAUUAGGUAGUUGGUGGUGUGAAGGCGUACCAAGAGGACGAUCUAUAGCUGGUCAGAGACGAUGAUCAGCCACACUGUGACUGAGACACGAGCGGGACACAUAGGAGAAGCAGCAGAGGGGAAUAUUAGACAAUGGGCGCAAGCCUGAUCCAGCAAUGCGUCGUGAGUGAUGAAUGCCGGAGGGUAGUAAAGCUCGGUUACCAGGGAAGAUAAUGACUGUUCCGGGAGAAUAAGCCCCGGGUAACUCCGGG